GUCUGUUUAGCGCAAUGGAUAGUGCGUUAGACUUCUAAUUUAAAGGUCGUGGUUUCGAAUCCCACCUGAAAUGGACU
Molecule: transfer RNA, 77 nt
Filed under: Trichonephila clavata
Lineage: Eukaryota; Metazoa; Arthropoda; Arachnida; Araneae; Nephilidae
Description: tRNA-Arg
Rfam family: tRNA (bases 8-65)
About the family: Transfer RNA (tRNA) molecules are approximately 80 nucleotides in length. Their secondary structure includes four short double-helical elements and three loops (D, anti-codon, and T loops). Further hydrogen bonds mediate the characteristic L-shaped molecular structure. tRNAs have two regions of fundamental functional importance: the anti-codon, which is responsible for specific mRNA codon recognition, and the 3' end, to which the tRNAs corresponding amino acid is attached (by aminoacyl-tRNA synthetases). tRNAs cope with the degeneracy of the genetic code in two manners: having more than one tRNA (with a specific anti-codon) for a particular amino acid; and 'wobble' base-pairing, i.e. permitting non-standard base-pairing at the 3rd anti-codon position.
Source: RNAcentral